Maylandia zebra (zebra mbuna) is the source of this 340-nucleotide non-coding RNA. The record is from RefSeq and is a predicted model, not a curated record. Lineage: Eukaryota; Metazoa; Chordata; Actinopteri; Cichliformes; Cichlidae.
AGCAGACGACCAAUACAGGUCAAAGAGGACGAAAGAGACUGAUCCACCUGCAGUUUAUUCAUCAACAGCUGACGUCAGUUAUGGAGAAAUCACCGUCAGGACAAACAGCAGGCACAGAGAUCUUCCACCAGAGCCAGCCAUCAUCUACUCCUCACUGAAGCCGAGCCACACACCUUCACCACAGCUUAACUAGUGUGACCAGUGAAGUCUAGCUGGCUGCCGAACACAACCCUGCUCCCCUCUCUAUAUUAGUAUUUAUUUAAUCAUAUUCUCUGUGUGUUUAGUCAUACAGCUGCACUGAACCAAUGAUGAAGUGGAAAUAAAACAUUUUUUAUAUUAA